CAAUAGCGUAUAUUUAGGUUGUUGCAGUUAAAAAGCUCGUAGUUGGAUUUUGGGUCGGGGGCACCGGUCCGCCGUUCCGGUGUGCACUGGUGGCCCCUUCCUUUCUGCCGGGGACGUGCGUCGCACUUAAUUGGGUGGCGUUCGGAGUCGGCGUUGUUACUUUGAAAAAAUUAGAGUGUUCAAAGCAAGCCAUCGCUCUGAAUACAUUAGCAUGGAAUAACAUGAUGGGACUCCGGUCUUAUUUUGUUGGUUUCCGAGACUGGAGUAAUGAUUAAGAGGGACAGUCGGGGGCAUCCGUAUUUCAUUGUCAGAGGUGAAAUUCUUGGAUUUAUGAAAGACGAACUUCUGCGAAAGCAUUUGCCAAGGAUGUUUUCAUUAA
RNAcentral lists this ribosomal RNA (379 nucleotides) under uncultured eukaryote. Its description in RNAcentral is "partial 18S ribosomal RNA". It matches the Rfam family "Eukaryotic small subunit ribosomal RNA", at positions 592 to 976 of the family's 1831-position model. The record is from RNAcentral.